This 245-nucleotide small RNA is filed under the name Arabidopsis thaliana (thale cress). RNAcentral describes it as "ATSL097750". The record is from RNAcentral. Lineage: Eukaryota; Viridiplantae; Streptophyta; Magnoliopsida; Brassicales; Brassicaceae.
UCUUCUUGGGUUUGUGAUGGUCAUAAAAUUGGCUGGACUUCAUAUAUAUUCCAUUGGGCCAACUUCUGAAUGUUAUACCAUGGUUUGGAUCAUCAAAUGGGUGAUUUGAAUGUGAAUCAUUUGCCUCAUUAAAAACCUUGUGAAGAAACCCAUUGGGACAAAACUUGACAAGGGAAAAAGAGUACAAAUGAGACACAUGCCCAUUUGAUGAUCAUGUAUCAAAACCAAUGAGGUUAAGAUAACAU